CCUACGGGUGGCAGCAGUGAGGAAUAUUGGUCAAUGGCCGUAAGGCUGAACCAGCCAAGUAGCGUGAGGGAAGACUGCCCUAUGGGUUGUAAACCUCUUUUAUGCGGGGAUAAAGGUGUCCACGUGUGGAUGUUUGCAGGUACCGCAUGAAUAAGGACCGGCUAAUUCCGUGCCAGCAGCCGCGGUAAUACGGAAGGUCCGGGCGUUAUCCGGAUUUAUUGGGUUUAAAGGGUGCGUAGGCGGUUCGAUAAGUUAGAGGUGAAAUCCCGGGGCUCAACUCCGGCACUGCCUCUGAUACUGUCGGGCUAGAGUUUAGUUGCGGUAGGCGGAAUGUAUGGUGUAGCGGUGAAAUGCAUAGAUAUCACGCAGAACCCCGAUUGCGAAGGCAGCAUACCGGUGCACAACUGACGCUCAGGCACGAAAGCGUGGGUAUCGAACAGGAUUAGAUACCCGUGUAGUC
RNAcentral lists this ribosomal RNA (460 nucleotides) under uncultured bacterium. RNAcentral describes it as "partial 16S ribosomal RNA". It matches the Rfam family "Bacterial small subunit ribosomal RNA", at positions 338 to 795 of the family's 1533-position model. The record is from RNAcentral.